AAUAGAUACCCCGGUAGUCCACGCCGUAAACGAUGAGUGCUAAGUGUUAGAGGGUUUCCGCCCUUUAGUGCUGCAGCUAACGCAUUAAGCACUCCGCCUGGGGAGUACGGCCGCAAGGCUGAAACUCAAAGGAAUUGACGGGGGCCCGCACAAGCGGUGGAGCAUGUGGUUUAAUUCGAAGCAACGCGAAGAACCUUACCAGGUCUUGACAUCCUCUGCUACUUCUAGAGAUAGAAGGUUCCCCUUCGGGGGACGGAGUGACAGGUGGUGCAUGGUUGUCGUCAGCUCGUGUCGUGAGAUGUUGGGUUAAGUCCCGCAACGAGCGCAACCCUUGACCUUAGUUGCCAGCAUUCAGUUGGGCACUCUAAGGUGACUGCCGGUGACAAACCGGAGGAAGGUGGGGAUGACGUCAAAUCAUCAUGCCCCUUAUGACCUGGGCUACACACGUGCUACAAUGGACGGUACAAAGGGCUGCGAAACCGCGAGGUGGAGCCAAUCCCAUAAAACCGUUCUCAGUUCGGAUUGCAGGCUGCAACUCG
Molecule: ribosomal RNA, 539 nt
Filed under: uncultured bacterium
Lineage: Bacteria
Description: bacterial SSU rRNA
Rfam family: Bacterial small subunit ribosomal RNA
Source: RNAcentral